GCGAUUCCCUUAGUAGUGGCGAACGAAAAGGGAGGAGCCCAGCGCAUAAUCUCCCAGGCCGCCCGGCCUGCGGCGAAAUGUUGCGUUAAGGGAAAGGUCGCUCGAAAGCCACGCACGCUCGUGCUUAUGCCUAAGAGCGAAUUGAAUUGUUCGCGCUUGUUCGGCAUUCGCUCACGCGAGUUGUCGACGUACGGUUCCAGGGUGGGUGCAAGCCCCGUAUGGCGUACGUUGCGUUGCGUUGGUUCGGCCUCUAUUCCCUAAGAGUCGCGUUGCUUGAACAUGCAGCGCUAAGCAGGUGGUAAACUCCACCUAAGGCUAAAUACAUCCACAGAACCGAUAGCUGACAAGUACCGCGAGGGAAAGUUGAAAAGUACUCUGAAGAGAGGGUGAAAAGACCGUGAAACCGCUCAGGGUAAAAGUCAAAUGUCGAGUGAUCCUAGAUGCUGGGGCAUCGUCUUUCUCUCUCACGAGGGCGAGGCGAUAGUGCGUGUCUGUGUGCGCGUUAGAAGUUACCAGGCUUAUGUAAGCGCGCCGUUUAAUACUGGAGUUUCUCGCUCUAGUGUAUUCGGUCAUUUAAGCCGAGUCUCUCUAGCGCAUCGAGCAUAUCGAGUACACCACCGUCAGGCCCGCUAACAGCCCACCGCAACUGCUGUUGAGUUGUCACUCGCGGUAGACGGACGUAAGUUCGUGACCCUCUUGUUCUCUCGGUCGUCAGGUUUGCGCUUGCGAGAUGCUUUCCCGGAGUAGGCUGAAGCGAGAGCUUCGGUGCGAAAAGGGACUCUCGUAUGCGGGCGUACUACUAAUGACACAAUACCAUAAGGCCGGGAAUGACGAGUUUGUCAUAAAGCGUACUAUGCGUCGUACUACCAAUGCGAUUGUGUAUGAUCCUCUGGCAGCGUUGUUCGCUGACACACUUUUUUGUUAGUGUACGGUGGUAUAUGCUAGGUGACAUUGAUCACGUCUCGAAACACGGGCCAAGGAGCGUAGCGUGCGCGCAAGUCAAAGGGUCUCACUAAACCCUACGGCGACAGUGAAAGCGAGUGGUUCAUCGGCAUACGUGUCGGUGUAUCCCGGGUUGCGACGAUAGUUCUUUUACCGAAGUCUAUUCGAAGCAUCUCCGUUUUGUCAGGGCCGAUCCCGAUCGAUAAGAUUGGGCGCAAGCCCCGGGCUCACUCGUAAGACGCGGUUUCCCCUCGGGGUUGUUGUGUCGGAGAGAGCACCGAGUAGCGCGCACGGUACAACCCGAAAGAUAGUGAACUAUGCCUGGCGAGGAUUAAGCCCCAGGAAACUGUGGUGGAAGUCCGUAGCCGUUGUGACGUGCAAAUCCAUGGUAUCAGCUGGGCAUAGGGGCGAAAGACCAAUCGAACUAUCUAGUAGCUGGUUCCGUCCGAAGUUUCUCUCAGGAUAGCUGGCGCGAUUACGGCACGUUUGUCUGAUUCUCUAAGCUGGCGACAACAGUCGCACUCGAGAUCGUUCCUGCGUUUGUCGAGAGCUGAGGGCAAUAGCCGCUGCACGCCUCUGACGCUCGGUGUCUCUGUCACCUUACUAACUUUUCAGUUACGUCUGGUAAAGAGAAUGAGUAGAGGUUGCGUGCCGCGCGCCCAAAUGCGCGGCAGCGGCGGGGCGUUCUACGCCUCGCACUAUUAUCAAACUUUAAAUGGGCGAGGAACUCGGCAUUUCUUAACUGAGUUAAACGUGAUGCCGGGGAAACGAGUGCGCGUCGCCGUAACAAAGCGACUAGACUAGAAUGUGUCCGCGUUUAGUGGGUCCGUUCUGGUAAGCAGAACUGAUAAUGAGGGAUGAACCUAACGUUGUGUUAAGGGGCCAAAAUGACAGCUAUUUCUCGAAACCAUUGGAAAGGCGUUGCUUGCUGAAGACAGCAGGACGGUGGUCAUGGAAGUUGACAUCCGCUAAGGAGUGUGUAACAACUCAUCCUGCCGAAGCGAGUAACCCUGAAAAUGGAUGGCUCUAAAGCUCUCUCCCGAUGCACGACCGUCAGCGGCAACACGGCUAUUCAUAGUCUCGAUGCCCUGACGAGUAGGACGGAGUAUCGGUGCGCGUCGAAGGCCUUAGGGUAACCUGGGCUGGAGCCGCCGAUAAUUCAGAUCUUGGUGGUAGUAGCAAGUACUCUGGUUGAUAACCUUGAGCUAUGAGGUUGAUAAGGGUUCCAUGUCAACAGCGUUUGUACAUGGGUAAGCCGAUCCUAAGCCAACCUAUACCUCGGUGUAGAGCGCGAGCGCAACUUGCAUGUAAAUACCUGGUAACAACACGACACGCGCGCGCACUGGCGAGAGCUCCGAGAGAGACUUUGAUCCCUAUCGACUCUCGCGCCACGCUGCGCGUAUGUGUUUUAUUAAUGACUUUAACGCUAUAUAAGGCUCGUGAGUUUACCGAAAGAGAGAUUCGAUAUUCUGUAUCGCGCAUAAAACACCUGUAUGUGUGUGUGAGGUAUGUGUUUUAUACUGAUGAGAGAGAGAAAUAGUCGGUGCGAUGAAAAAWGAUAGCGCGCAARCGCGAGCCCGCGCGCGAGCCRGUGGUGGUGUGUUUGUUUAACAAMCAACAACCCCCCGCGAGCGCGCRCGGAGAGCGASCGCGCGCUUUCUUUAUUAACCCCCCCCUGUGUAGUCCCGCGCAACAUAUAAUAAACACACACAYACACCAAUAAGGGUGCGAAUAAUGCRCAKAUAUAAGUGAAGUGUCUCUCUCCUCUAUAUUAAUACUCGCGCGGCUAAGUUAUCGUCUGAAGGGCUUUUGCGAGUUGUUUUAGCCUGGCGAAAGGGAACUAUGGACUUAGUUCAUGGGCCUCUCUUGGUUCCCUGAUGCGUCGCCGUAUCACGAACUUAGCAACAGCUAUCUAGCUGAGCCAUUGCAGUCUCGAGUCGCGUGAUGGGGAGAUGUCUCCUCUCAUUAAUCGAACCCCUAGAACCUGUUAAACGCCUUGAGAGGAGUUAGGCUCUAUGUUCGUGAGAAGAGUAAUUUCUCUCCCCAAUCAUAUCAAUGUUUCUCGAGAUCCGUGAAAAAGUGGCCGAGGGAAUUUCUCUGUUGAACCAUCUCUACCGAUGUUCUUAGAGAUUGCCAAGAGUGUACGUACCCGAGUCCGCAUCCGGUCUCAAA
This 3114-nucleotide ribosomal RNA is filed under the name Scypholanceola sp. BEB-2013. RNAcentral's name for it is "partial 28S ribosomal RNA". It matches the Rfam family "Eukaryotic large subunit ribosomal RNA", at positions 71 to 1871 of the family's 3401-position model. Lineage: Eukaryota; Metazoa; Arthropoda; Malacostraca; Amphipoda; Lanceolidae. The record is from RNAcentral.